UGAGUAACACGUGGGCAAUCUGCCCUGCACUUCGGGAUAAGCCUGGGAAACUGGGUCUAAUACCGGAUAGGACCUUUAGACGCAUGUCUUUUGGUGGAAAGCUUUUGCGGUGUGGGAUGGGCCCGCGGCCUAUCAGCUUGUUGGUGGGGUGAUGGCCUACCAAGGCGACGACGGGUAGCCGGCCUGAGAGGGUGUCCGGCCACACUGGGACUGAGAUACGGCCCAGACUCCUACGGGAGGCAGCAGUGGGGAAUAUUGCACAAUGGGCGCAAGCCUGAUGCAGCGACGCCGCGUGGGGGAUGACGGCCUUCGGGUUGUAAACCUCUUUCACNAUCGACGAAGGUUCGGGUUUUCUCGGAUUGACGGUAGGUGGAGAAGAAGCACCGGCCAACUACGUGCCAGCAGCCGCGGUAAUACGUAGGGUGCGAGCGUUGUCCGGAAUUACUGGGCGUAAAGAGCUCGUAGGUGGUUUGUCGCGUUGUUCGUGAAAUCUCACGGCUUAACUGUGAGCGUGCGGGCGAUACGGGCAGACUAGAGUACUGCAGGGGAGACUGGAAUUCCUGGUGUAGCGGUGGAAUGCGCAGAUAUCAGGAGGAACACCGGUGGCGAAGGCGGGUCUCUGGGCAGUAACUGACGCUGAGGAGCGAAAGCGUGGGGAGCGAACAGGAUUAGAUACCCUGGUAGUCCACGCCGUAAACGGUGGGUACUAGGUGUGGGGUUUCCUUCCUUGGGAUCCGUGCCGUAGCUAACGCAUUUAAGUACCCCCGCCUGGGGGAGUACGGGCCGCAAGGCUNAAAACUCAAAAGGAAUUUGACGGGGGGGCCCGCACAA
Molecule: ribosomal RNA, 831 nt
Filed under: Mycobacterium sp.
Lineage: Bacteria; Bacillati; Actinomycetota; Actinomycetes; Mycobacteriales; Mycobacteriaceae
Description: bacterial SSU rRNA
Rfam family: Bacterial small subunit ribosomal RNA
Source: RNAcentral